Molecule: microRNA precursor, 74 nt
Filed under: Tursiops truncatus (common bottlenose dolphin)
Lineage: Eukaryota; Metazoa; Chordata; Mammalia; Artiodactyla; Delphinidae
Description: miRNA (ENSTTRG00000024908.1)
Source: RNAcentral
UUGUUUGGCCAAAAAGUUCGUUUGGGUUUUUCUGUAACGUCAUACAGAAAAACAUGAACUUCAUGGCCAACCCA